UUGGUUUGGUUUGUUUUCCUUCUAGACGAUCGUUCUCCUGUGUGCUGGCAAUUAACACGUUCAGGGAAUGAGGGGUGGGGAAUUCUCCACGGAGGGGGUCCGAGAAGUUUGAUUUUCUUGUCCCCGACUACAAAUGAUUGCCUAAUUGGGAGAAACCAUAACUACAACAGUUCACUGGGGGAAACGUGAAAACAAAGUGAACCAGAAAAGAAAUAGAAACCCAGACUUUUCAGUUCCUGUUUAUCCUAUUUUUAAUCUCAACAUCUCAGUUGCUCUCUUUCUGUCUUCCUUGCCUUGCUGGAAUUCGUACACACACCUGGCUUUCCAUUUGCCUUGGGGACAGAGAAGAGGUGGGGCCCGAGAGUGGGGGGCAGCUCCACUGAGGGGGCGGGGGGGACCAGUGCCACGGUGGUGCUUGUCAGAAGAGGGAGGGGUGCGGAAAUCGCCCCCCGUCUAACUCCAAGGUGUCAGGGGAACGCGAGUGAUGACCCCUCCUUGCAUUAUCUGCCCCGGCUAAGAGACCCUGGCCAUUCCAGCCCCAGGGAGGCAAAGGCAAAGAAAACCAAGGACGUCCUGGGGGUUGGAAACCUUGCAAGAGACAACAACUGUUCGCCAGGGAGGCCGCUCUCACUCUGCCGUGUUGGUGCCCAUGCCACAGUGUGCUCAAAAUUGUGAAAAUACUUUCUCUUCCUUUUAUGAGUGAAAUAAUUCAUGCCGUCGUGUGGUUCUGUCACGGGAAAAAAAAAAAAAAAAAGAAAAGGAAAGGGAACAGAGCGCCUCAAGGAAAAUAACGUCUUCUGAAACAGUCAGAUGUGCGAGCCGGCGUUUUAAGUUUUUGUUUUUAUUUUUAAGGUUUAUGUAUUUAUUUGAGAGGGGGGAGGGGCAGAGAGAGAGGCAGAGAGAGAAUCCCAGUCAGGCUCCCUGUUGUCAGCGCAGAACCCAAUAUGGGGCUCCAUCCCACGGACUGUGAGAUCACGACCUGAGCUGAAAUCAAGGGUUGGACACUUAACCUACUGAGCCCCCCAGGUGCCCCUAAACGGGGAUUCUAAAGCCUGACAGGGAGGAGCCUCGGCCCCCACCCUGGGCUCUCACGGUGCCCUGGAGCUCUAUUUUCUGACUUGUUGCCUGUGUGUCUGUCUUCCUACCCAACUGGGAGCCUCUGGGGGUGGGAGCUGCGCCCUUUUGUCACCUUACGCCCAGCACAGAGCACUGCAGCACCUGGCCUCAUGGGCACACAGGGAGGUCUGUGAGGAUCCUCCCGUGUGGCUUAUGUGUGCCCAGUCCCCUCCAACUGCUGUCCUUCAUUCAGCACAGACACCGCCUGGAACCCCAGAGCCGCUCCCCAAAGGGACGUAUUCAGCCUCCCACCUGCUUAGCCAUUCAAAGUCUCCCCAUCAGAAACCGGGGUUUGCUGCCUGCCCCCUCUAGUCAGCAGGCGUCUCCAGAAUCUGCAAGGGUGUCCCUGAGGUAGCCUUAGAUUCCCUCUUCCCCUGAUGGCUUUCAUUUGGUUAAUUGACCUGGCAAAUUAUCGCUUGGGAAGGUCCGUCACUAGCUUCCACCCCAGAGAAAGGAUGAGAAGACCAUCAGACCUCUGUGGGGCCGGCCUACAUUCCCUUCCAACAUGAAGUGUUAGAGCAUGAGGUGUCUCCACCUGGAGAGCCGGAACCUUCUGGAAGACUCUGGAUCCUUGUACAGGGUGUUGAGCUGCUGGCACCGAACUCAGUAAUAAACGUCCUCGGUUCGUGCAGUCUUCACUGUAAGGGUGCUCAUUGGAAACUGUCUCACUAGGCUUCAAUGAUUUGAAUAGAAAUGGAUAUAUUUAAUAAAAACAAUCUGCUUUGUGAAAUUGUUUCAGAAGGUUUUGUUUCGGUGGUGGUGGUUCUUAUAUGUUUUCUUCAGCCCCAGAUAAGCUUGAAAUAAAUCGCUGACAUACAAUUAAUGUUAAAUGUCAUCAUAUUUUGAGUCAAGCUGAUUUUGAUGACAGCGAAGAACAUUUUGAAGCCGUUCCAUGAUUUUCACAACACAACGGAUUUUAGAAGGAAAAAAAAAAAAAAAGAUUCCCAUAUCGUAGACCUUGAAAAGUGCUAGCAGUGUUGUUUAGCCCCUCCAACAUAAGCACCCACAACAGUAAAGCAAACAAAACCCACAGUGGACUGAAAAUGUGGUUUCUGGAACUCUCUUAAACCUUGGCUAACUUUUGGGGGCUCCCAAAGGACAAGAUUACUUCAUGUCAAAGCAAAAAUUCUCCUGACUCUGUAAACAACCCACAGUUCUGGGAAAUAUGGAAAAUGUAGAUCAAAACUGAAAUUGUGUUGUAUUUGGACAGGCUGUCCCAGACGAUGAAGUUUAGUCCCAUGGGACCCACCUCGGCUGCUUUGGGGGGCUGUUGGGGCUUUUUUCUUCCCGUGUCCACUCUCUCUCUCUUCCCCUUCUUCCUCAGAAUCCCGGUUGCCAAUCAAGAACACCAACAAUGCUAUUCCCACCAACCUGGACUGGAAGGCCCGAUCCUUUUUCUCGAGCUCAAACCGCGCUGUGCAUUUUCACGGUAUCAUAUUUGUGUUCUGUGGCGUCUUCAGAAACUUGAAGAGUCAAAAGACAAAAGCCACUGAAUGUCUCAUUUCCCACUAGUUUUGUGGCACAGACCAAAUUAAUGCUCUCUUUUCUCCUCCCCACCACAUGGCUAAUUCCCGCUUCAUGCUUCGGUGUGGAUGAAUGGCAACACGACACUCUCACCGAGAAGAUUUUAUGGUCGGGUGAAUGUCAAGCAAAUUUUGAAAUACGUUCUGAUUCCAUCUGGACAGAAGACAGCAGUGAGCACAAUACAGCGUCUCAUCAGAAUAAACUCAACUUUUCUUUUUUUCCCCCCCCGCAUCAUAGGAUUUAUGUUGUGAAGGUGGAAAGACGAUUCACCCACAAAGAGGAGCCUGUGAUAAAGAAAAGGUUAUAUCCUUGAAUUUUAAAUUUCACCUAAUAAACUAUCCGGACAAAGGAGAUUAGGGCUUUUGGCAGAAUCCUAGGCAAUUUGCCUCCACGAGAAGGGAGAGAGCCAGAGGAGAAGGAACCACAGUGCAUCCCGUCUGUCCCUUCCGCAACUGGGAUCUUCCCUUGUUUUAAACCAAACAAACAUUAACAAGGAAGGCCAGCUGCUUUUACAAUGAAUAAACCCAUUACCUCAACUCCCUGUA
Long non-coding RNA from Neofelis nebulosa (Clouded leopard), 3185 nucleotides. RefSeq lists it as uncharacterized. The transcript is spliced from 2 exons. The record is from RefSeq and is a predicted model, not a curated record. NCBI's taxonomy places the organism in Eukaryota, Metazoa, Chordata, Mammalia, Carnivora, Felidae.